UACGUAGGGGGCAAGCGUUGUCCGGAAUCAUUGGGCGUAAAGAGCGCGUAGGCGGCCCGAUAAGUCCGCUGUGAAAGUCAAGGGCUCAACCCUUGAAUGCCGGUGGAUACUGUCGGGCUAGAGUCCGGAAGAGGCGAGUGGAAUUCCUGGUGUAGCGGUGAAAUGCGCAGAUAUCAGGAGGAACACCUAUUGCGAAGGCAGCUCGCUGGGACGUUACUGACGCUGAGACGCGAAAGCGUGGGGAGCAAACAGG
This 253-nucleotide ribosomal RNA is filed under the name uncultured bacterium. RNAcentral's name for it is "partial 16S ribosomal RNA". It matches the Rfam family "Bacterial small subunit ribosomal RNA", at positions 524 to 776 of the family's 1533-position model. The record is from RNAcentral.